This 1070-nucleotide ribosomal RNA is filed under the name Lactobacillus delbrueckii subsp. bulgaricus. RNAcentral describes it as "bacterial SSU rRNA". It matches the Rfam family "Bacterial small subunit ribosomal RNA", at positions 129 to 1186 of the family's 1533-position model. The record is from RNAcentral. Lineage: Bacteria; Bacillati; Bacillota; Bacilli; Lactobacillales; Lactobacillaceae.
CCCUAAAGACUGGGAUACCACUUGGAAACAGGUGCUAAUACCGGAUAACAACAUGAAUCGCAUGAUUCAAGUUUGAAAGGCGGCGCAAGCUGUCACUUUAGGAUGAGCCCGCGGCGCAUUAGCUAGUUGGUGGGGUAAAGGCCUACCAAGGCAAUGAUGCGUAGCCGAGUUGAGAGACUGAUCGGCCACAUUGGGACUGAGACACGGCCCAAACUCCUACGGGAGGCAGCAGUAGGGAAUCUUCCACAAUGGACGCAAGUCUGAUGGAGCAACGCCGCGUGAGUGAAGAAGGUCUUCGGAUCGUAAAGCUCUGUUGUUGGUGAAGAAGGAUAGAGGCAGUAACUGGUCUUUAUUUGACGGUAAUCAACCAGAAAGUCACGGCUAACUACGUGCCAGCAGCCGCGGUAAUACGUAGGUGGCAAGCGUUGUCCGGAUUUAUUGGGCGUAAAGCGAGCGCAGGCGGAAUGAUAAGUCUGAUGUGAAAGCCCACGGCUCAACCGUGGAACUGCAUCGGAAACUGUCAUUCUUGAGUGCAGAAGAGGAGAGUGGAACUCCAUGUGUAGCGGUGGAAUGCGUAGAUAUAUGGAAGAACACCAGUGGCGAAGGCGGCUCUCUGGUCUGCAACUGACGCUGAGGCUCGAAAGCAUGGGUAGCGAACAGGAUUAGAUACCCUGGUAGUCCAUGCCGUAAACGAUGAGCGCUAGGUGUUGGGGACUUUCCGGUCCUCAGUGCCGCAGCAAACGCAUUAAGCGCUCCGCCUGGGGAGUACGACCGCAAGGUUGAAACUCAAAGGAAUUGACGGGGGCCCGCACAAGCGGUGGAGCAUGUGGUUUAAUUCGAAGCAACGCGAAGAACCUUACCAGGUCUUGACAUCCUGCGCUACACCUAGAGAUAGGUGGUUCCCUUCGGGGACGCAGAGACAGGUGGUGCAUGGCUGUCGUCAGCUCGUGUCGUGAGAUGUUGGGUUAAGUCCCGCAACGAGCGCAACCCUUGUCUUUAGUUGCCAUCAUUAAGUUGGGCACUCUAGAGAGACUGCCGGUGACAAACCGGAGGAAGGUGGGGAUGACGUC